UACGUAGGGAGCAAGCGUUGUCCGGAUUUAUUGGGUGUAAAGGGUGCGUAGACGGGAAGGCAGGUUGGUUGUGAAAUCCCUCGGCUUAACUGAGGAACUGCAACCAAAACUAUCUUUCUUGAGUGCUGGAGAGGAAAGUGGAAUUCCUAGUGUAGCGGUGAAAUGCGUAGAUAUUAGGAGGAACACCAGUGGCGAAGGCGACUUUCUGGACAGUAACUGACGUUGAGGCACGAAAGUGUGGGGAGCAAACAGG
RNAcentral lists this ribosomal RNA (253 nucleotides) under uncultured bacterium. RNAcentral's name for it is "partial 16S ribosomal RNA". It matches the Rfam family "Bacterial small subunit ribosomal RNA", at positions 524 to 776 of the family's 1533-position model. The record is from RNAcentral.